RNAcentral lists this transfer RNA (72 nucleotides) under Lepeophtheirus salmonis (salmon louse). RNAcentral's name for it is "transfer RNA threonine (anticodon UGU)". It matches the Rfam family "tRNA". From Rfam's summary of the family: Transfer RNA (tRNA) molecules are approximately 80 nucleotides in length. Their secondary structure includes four short double-helical elements and three loops (D, anti-codon, and T loops). Lineage: Eukaryota; Metazoa; Arthropoda; Copepoda; Siphonostomatoida; Caligidae. RNAcentral also lists the same sequence under 1 other name. The record is from Rfam by way of RNAcentral.
GCCUCUAUAGCUCAGUGGCAGAGCACUGGUCUUGUAAACCAGGGGUCGAGAGUUCGAUCCUCUCUGGAGGCA